CCUACGGGAGGCAGCAGUAGGGAAUAUUGCUCAAUGGGGGAAACCCUGCAGCAGCAACGCCGCGUGGCGGAUGAAGGUUUUCGGAUUGUAAACUCCUUUUGUUAGUGAAGAUAAUGAAGGUAUCUAACCAAUAAGCCCCGGAGACCUCCGUGCCAGCAGCCGCGGUAAUACGGAGGUUGCAAGCGUUACUCGGAUACACUGAGCUUAAAGCUCGCGUAGGCGGGAUAGCAAGUCAGAUGUGAAAUUCUAUGGCUAAACCAUAGAACUGCAUUUGAAACUGUAAUUCUAGAGUAUUGGAGAGGUAAGUGGAAUUCUUGGUGUAGGGGUAAAAUCCGUAGAGAUCAAGAGGAAUACUCAUUGCGAAGGCGACCUGCUAGAACAUAACUGACGCUGAUGCGCGAAAGCGUGGGGAGCAAACAGGAUUAGAUACCCUGGUAGUC
Molecule: ribosomal RNA, 440 nt
Filed under: uncultured bacterium
Lineage: Bacteria
Description: partial 16S ribosomal RNA
Rfam family: Bacterial small subunit ribosomal RNA
Source: RNAcentral